Molecule: ribosomal RNA, 432 nt
Filed under: Gammarus sp. E RAS-2009
Lineage: Eukaryota; Metazoa; Arthropoda; Malacostraca; Amphipoda; Gammaridae
Description: partial 16S ribosomal RNA
Rfam family: Bacterial large subunit ribosomal RNA
Source: RNAcentral
GGGUAUUUUGACCGUGCUAAGGUAGCANAAUCAUUUGCUACUNAAUUGGUAGCUGGGAUGAAAGGUNAAACUAGUUUACUCAGUUUGUUGUGUUUUGUAAGAAAUNAAAGUCGAGGUAAGAAUUCUUUGAUCUGCNAGGGGACGAUAAGACCCNAGAAGCUUAACAAUAAGAGUAUUUAUNAGUUANAAAAAUUAAUUUGUUUUACUGGGGCGGUAAAGGUAUAUAAACUAUUAGUGUAUNGANAGAUCCUUAAAAUAAAGAUAAAACGGGAAAGUUACUCUAGGGGUAACAGUGCAAUAUUUUUGGAGAGAUCAUAUCGANAAAAAUGUUUGCAACCUCGAUGUNGAAUUAAGAUGUCUACGNGAAGCAGCAGGUACGUGAGAAGGUUUGUUCAACCUUUAAAUUUUUACAUGAUCNGAGUUCAAACCGGA